This 1576-nucleotide ribosomal RNA is filed under the name metagenome. RNAcentral's name for it is "bacterial LSU rRNA". It matches the Rfam family "Bacterial large subunit ribosomal RNA", at positions 1349 to 2925 of the family's 2925-position model. The record is from RNAcentral.
GGUUUCCUUGCGCAACGUUAAUCGACGCAGGGUUAGUCGGCCCCUAAGGCGAGGGCGAAAGCCGUAGUCGAUGGGAAGCAGUUUAAUAUUACUGCACCUCGCGUGAGUGCGAUGGAGGGACGGAGAAGGUUAGGCAAGCCAGGCGUUGGUUGUCCUGGUGAGAGAACUGAGGCAGAACCCUUUGGCAAAUCCGGGGGUUUAAUGUUGAGGUUAAGGACCAGUCCUUUUGGACGAGGUUGCCGAUAUCACGCUUCCAGGAAAAGCUCCUAAGCUUCAGCUCACGAAGACCGUACCGUAAACCGACACAGGUGGGUAGGAUGAGAAUUCUCAGGCGCUUGAGAGAACUCGGGUGAAGGAACUAGGCAAAAUAGCACCGUAACUUCGGGAGAAGGUGCGCCUCUUCUGGUUAAUAGCUGGGGGAGGCCGAAGUAACCAGGCCGCUGCGACUGUUUAUCAAAAACACAGCACUCUGCAAACACGAAAGUGGACGUAUAGGGUGUGACGCCUGCCCGGUGCUGGAAGGUUAAUUGAUGGGGUCAGCCGCAAGGCGAAGCUCUUGAUCGAAGCCCCAGUAAACGGCGGCCGUAACAAUAACGGUCCUAAGUAGCGAAAUUCCUUGUCGGGUAAGUUCCGACCUGCACGAAUGGCGUAACGACAGCGGCGCUGUCUCCACCCGAGACUCAGUGAAAUUGAAAUCGCUGUGAAGAUGCAGCGUUCCCGUGGCAAGACGGAAAGACCCCGUGAACCUUUACUAUAGCUUUACAUUGAACGUUGAGUUCGUCUGUGUAGGAUAGGUGGGAGGCUUUGAAGCGAUGGCGCUAGCUGUCGUGGAGCCAACCUUGAAAUACCACCCUGUCGUGCUUGACGUUCUAACCUAGCUCCGUAAUCCGGAGCGGGGACCAUGUAUGGUGGGUAGUUUGACUGGGGCGGUCUCCUCCCAAAGAGUAACGGAGGAGCACGAAGGUACGCUCAGCGCGGUCGGACAUCGCGCACUGUGUGCAAAGGCAUAAGCGUGCUUGACUGCGAGAUCGACGGAUCAAGCAGGUACGAAAGUAGGUCUUAGUGAUCCGGUGGUUCUGUAUGGAAGGGCCAUCGCUCAACGGAUAAAAGGUACUCCGGGGAUAACAGGCUGAUACCGCCCAAGAGUUCAUAUCGACGGCGGUGUUUGGCACCUCGAUGUCGGCUCAUCACAUCCUGGGGCUGUAGUCGGUCCCAAGGGUAUGGCUGUUCGCCAUUUAAAGUGGUACGCGAGCUGGGUUCAGAACGUCGUGAGACAGUUCGGUCCCUAUCUGCCAUGGGCGUUGGAGAUUUGAGAGGGGCUGCUCCUAGUACGAGAGGACCGGAGUGGACGAACCCCUGGUGUUCCGGUUGUCACGCCAGUGGCAUUGCCGGGUAGCUACGUUCGGAAGCGAUAACCGCUGAAAGCAUCUAAGCGGGAAGCGCGCCUCAAGAUGAGAUCUCCCGGGACACAAGUCCCCUAAAGGAACGAUGAAGACUACGUCGUUGAUAGGUCAGGUGUGUAAGUGCAGUAAUGCAUUGAGCUAACUGAUACUAAUGAUCCGUGCGGCUUGACCAA